CUACGGGAGGCAGCAGUGGGGAAUAUUGGACAAUGGGGGGAACCCUGAUCCAGCCAUGCCGCGUGUGUGAAGAAGGCCUUUUGGUUGUAAAGCACUUUAAGCGAGGAGGAGGCUACCGAGAUUAAUACUCUUGGAUAGUGGACGUUACUCGCAGAAUAAGCACCGGCUAACUCUGUGCCAGCAGCCGCGGUAAU
RNAcentral lists this ribosomal RNA (194 nucleotides) under uncultured bacterium. RNAcentral's name for it is "partial 16S ribosomal RNA". It matches the Rfam family "Bacterial small subunit ribosomal RNA", at positions 339 to 524 of the family's 1533-position model. The record is from RNAcentral.